CCAUAGGAGAGUUGAUAAUUGCCCUGGAGGUUAGGGGAAAAGUCUAGCUGAGCAGUUUUCUGUGACUGGAGAUAGGCUCAUCCUAAAACCAGUUACAGUUUAUUUGCAGGAGCUACUUUCAGUAUGAGUCUUUGUGACAGGGGAGAAGGAGGUGCACCAUCUGGUUUGCCUUCAUUCCACGAGCUGAAGGUACCCCUGUCAGAACAAAGCGCUGAACAAAAAUCCACCAGGGUCAAACGCCGUCGAACGAGACGGGAACGCAACUACAUCAAAUUUGGCAGGAAGGCUACGGGCAAAAUUCCAGAACAAAGGCCCAACUGCAGAGGCCUAAAGAAGAUGCUGCCCCCUUUCUGGAGCUCUCAGCUUAGCAACUGUGCCAAAUCGACCCCCAUCAAAGGGACCCACCUUGCAAACUCCGUGAUCAUAACCCAGAACAGACUGACACAGCAUCUGGGCAUCUUUAACAGAGAGGUGAAAUCGGCUGACAUUGAGAGACUGUUGAGUCCCAGGGCUGAGCAUGAUACAAUGGAUGUAACUCCUAUCCAGAAAGCCAGUGGAGGGCUGAUGGGAGGAGAGAUACAGUCCUGUAGCCCUCUUGAUGCAAAUCAGAAAUCUGUCUCUGGAGAGCAAGGAGAAUGCCUUUUAAAAGAUUUAAGCACCGUGCACGAGGAUUCUCAUUUUACGGCAAUGCCAGCUGCCCCUGCAUCAGUCAGAGAACACCAGCCAGUAGCAGUGGUGCAGGAGGUGGUGGAGGCAGGCUACAAGCCUUCAUUGGCAUCUCCUGCUGCGACCUUUGAUCAACAGGCUAUAGAGGACGAAGCUUUCCAAAGCAACACAACAGUGGCUGUGAAUGACAAGGAAAAUGUCCCCCCACCUCCCGCAGAAGGAGCUGGGUUGACUCAACCUAAACAUCCCGCGAAAGAACUUGCCCAGGACUUAGAAAAACUGUUGGACCUCAAGACAAUAUUCCCUGGGCGUGAUUUAAUCAGUGAAAUGCGGCAGACCGUUAUCAAUGCCGUGCUGCAGCAAAACAAAAGCUUGCCAGAUUUUUCUGCUUUGACGUUGCUCAGGAAGAAAGCAGGUAGUUGUAACACGGACGCCGGGGACAUAGAUUUGCAAUUCCUGAUGGGAUUCCUUGCGUUCGCUUACUGUGCCCUCUUUUAGAUUUCAACAGCCCAGAUAACAGAGGAGAGAAAAAGCUGCUUUUGGGACAGAAAUCCAGCAGCUGCAACAGUAGGAACUCUGAGCAGACCGUCUCUCUGAAAACCCCAAAAGAGCAUGAGCAAAUUUUCCUCGCCUGUUUCUCUCACGGACCUACACAUAGAGCUGUAAGAGUGGCAGACGACAGACUAGCCCAAAGAGAAGAUGUUGAAUUGUUUGCUGAGCCAGAAGCACGUGACCAACGAAGCUUUUUUCUAAGGGCAGCUCAACCUUACUCUCUUCCGUCGACAUCUUCCGAGCGUGUGAAUUCAGCCAGAAGUUCCUUUGCUCUCCCAACUGCUCAGCACUGGGUGCAAAGCCUGGGGGAAUCCAGAGGCAGGCAGGAGAGGUCUGAAGGCAAACAGAAAACGCCCUUGAAAAAAAUGGCUAUCUCUAAAAGGCAUCACCAACUUCGUCAACCUCUGGCUGCUCGAGAUUUCUUUGGAUCAGCCGGCCUUAGCAAAAGCCCUGGCUGUUUCCUUUUGGCUGAUCCACAGCCAUAUUCUUUGGCCUGUCAACCCAGACCAGACCAGUGGAACUUACAGGAGGCAGAGUCUCUUCCAGUGUACAACUUGCAUCCUUCACAGGAGCUGCACAGUUCUCAACUGUUCGACUUAGGGCUCGCCGCUACGGAAAGGGCUGCCCCAGACUUCCAGACUUCUUUCGAUGUCUUAAAAAGUAUCUGGAGUCCUAAACUGCCCAGUAAGGAGGCCAAACUCCCAAUCUCCGGAGCCCUGGCCUGUUCUUCCUUGGCUCACCUGCCGCUGUCUUCCAGAGAACUGCACUCCGAACAAGGGCAGCCCAAGGAAUUUUUCCAGCUCGAUGUCAUCUCUCCACCGCCUCAUUCUUUCUAUAGGCAGUGCUUUCAGCAAGACGUCUCUGCACCGAGCAGACACCCUCAGCUAAAGAAUGGGCUCUCUGUGCAAGGAAAACCUCGGCUCUAUUACCAGAAGAUAUCUUCCCAGCAAGAAAGGGCCUCACACGACCACCAGCUCUGGGGGCUGGCAGAGGCCUCCGAAAAAAAGCAAGGUUCUAGAGGCAAAGGAGCUUCCAGACCUGGGAACCAGGUUUGUGGUCUGGGAAGGCUGCUUCAUUUGGAAGACGCACAGCAGCUGCAGGUUUUUCAGCAACUGCCCAUGUCUUGUUUCCCCCCUUCUGAAGCUUUAGAGAACGGGAAUUCUCCUCUCUGCACCUUACAGGGCCAUCUGUGGGGGCAACCCAGUCCUGAACCCUGGGCCUUCCCCAGGAUGAAGUUGUACUGAAAACCUGUGCAUCGUUAGAGACUUGGAAAAGAGACAGAAAAUGGCUCAGUAUGAAUAGGAGAACCCAGACAUAUUAACUCAGAAGUAGCAUUAGCCACCUUGGACCUGUAAUUGCAUCUCUCUCAAUCAUUUUGUUCUGUGAUUUUUUUUUCCUUCAGUUUUUUUUUUUUAAAAAGCCCUUUUUGUUCAGGUCACUUACAGAAUUAUAGUCUCUUUUUCCCCCCCAGCUAAGCCGGCCCCAUGAGGCAAUUGCUUUACAAGGGGCGAUGAAGGUUGGUUGUCUUCCAUUGUGUAUGAUGAGGCACAAAAUCCUAUUACCAGCCUUCAUUAAAUUACAUUCUAAGAAACACAAUACUGUUCUUUUGCCGUUUUUGAAGGGAGGGAAACAAUCCAGAUGAUUUUUAUAGGGCAGAAUAAAUACCUACAUCACCAUAUCACAAAGAUACCUGAUUUGGAUUGUUGUUCUGAAGCUUCUGAUGUAUUUCAUCUCUUUUGCAAUUAUGUGCCGUGCGGCGGUGUUGACUUUACUUCCACCAAGUUAGAUCUGUAACA
Molecule: RNA transcript, 3014 nt
Organism: Crotalus tigris (Tiger rattlesnake)
Lineage: Eukaryota; Metazoa; Chordata; Lepidosauria; Squamata; Viperidae
Exons: 4
Source: RefSeq, a predicted model, not a curated record